This 68-nucleotide transfer RNA is filed under the name Raillietina sp. HL-2022. Its description in RNAcentral is "tRNA-Asp". Lineage: Eukaryota; Metazoa; Platyhelminthes; Cestoda; Cyclophyllidea; Davaineidae. The record is from RNAcentral.
GUGAUUUUAGUUUAAUUAUAAAAUGGUAGAUUGUCUUUUUACAGAUGGUUUGUUUAAACCAAAUUGCU